CUAUUGUUCUGGACAUUGAUUACAAAUCAGGAACCCCUAUGCAGAGUGCAGCAAAAGCACCCUACCUGGCCAAAUUUAAAGUGAAACGAUGUGGAGUUAGUGAGCUU
Molecule: non-coding RNA, 107 nt
Organism: Meleagris gallopavo (turkey)
Lineage: Eukaryota; Metazoa; Chordata; Aves; Galliformes; Phasianidae
Source: RefSeq, a predicted model, not a curated record